This 433-nucleotide ribosomal RNA is filed under the name uncultured bacterium. Its description in RNAcentral is "partial 16S ribosomal RNA". It matches the Rfam family "Bacterial small subunit ribosomal RNA", at positions 29 to 507 of the family's 1533-position model. The record is from RNAcentral.
AACGAACGCUGGCGGCAUGCCUAACACAUGCAAGUCGAACGAGACCUUCGGGUCUAGUGGCGCACGGGUGCGUAACGCGUGGGAACCUGCCCUUAGGUUCGGAAUAACUCCCCGAAAGGGGUGCUAAUACCGGAUAAUGUCUUCGGACCAAAGAUUUAUCGCCUUUGGAUGGGCCCGCGUUGGAUUAGCUAGUUGGUAGGGUAAAAGCCUACCAAGGCGACGAUCCAUAGCUGGUCUGAGAGGAUGAUCAGCCACACUGGGACUGAGACACGGCCCAGACUCCUACGGGAGGCAGCAGUGGGGAAUAUUGGACAAUGGGCGAAAGCCUGAGCCAGCAAGGCCGCGUGAAUGAUGAAGGCCUUAGGGUUGUAAAGCUCUUUUACCCGGGAUGAUAAUGACAGUACCGGGAGAAUAAGCUCCGGCUAACUCCGUG